RNAcentral lists this ribosomal RNA (513 nucleotides) under uncultured bacterium. RNAcentral describes it as "partial 16S ribosomal RNA". It matches the Rfam family "Bacterial small subunit ribosomal RNA", at positions 28 to 523 of the family's 1533-position model. The record is from RNAcentral.
GACGAACGCUGGCGGCGUGCCUAAUACAUGCAAGUAGAACGCUGAAGAGAGGAGCUUGCUCUUCUUGGAUGAGUUGCGAACGGGUGAGUAACGCGUAGGUAACCUGCCUUGUAGCGGGGGAUAACUAUUGGAAACGAUAGCUAAUACCGCAUAACAAUGGAUGACACAUGUCAUUUAUUUGAAAGGGGCAAUUGCUCCACUACAAGAUGGACCUGCGUUGUAUUAGCUAGUAGGUGAGGUAACGGCUCACCUAGGCGACGAUACAUAGCCGACCUGAGAGGGUGAUCGGCCACACUGGGACUGAGACACGGCCCAGACUCCUACGGGAGGCAGCAGUAGGGAAUCUUCGGCAAUGGGGGCAACCCUGACCGAGCAACGCCGCGUGAGUGAAGAAGGUUUUCGGAUCGUAAAGCUCUGUUGUAAGUCAAGAACGAGUGUGAGAGUGGAAAGUUCACACUGUGACGGUAGCUUACCAGAAAGGGACGGCUAACUACGUGCCAGCAGCCGCCGUAA